UGGGGAAUAUUGGACAAUGGGCGCAAGCCUGAUCCAGCCAUGCCGCGUGAGUGAUGACGGCCUUAGGGUUGUAAAGCUCUUUCGCUCGCGACGAUAAUGACGGUAGCGAGAGAAGAAGCCCCGGCUAACUUCGUGCCAGCAGCCGCGGUAAUACGAAGGGGGCUAGCGUUGUUCGGAAUUACUGGGCGUAAAGCGCACGUAGGCGGAUUGUUAAGUCGGGGGUGAAAUCCUGAGGCUCAACCUCAGAACUGCCUUCGAUACUGGCAAUCUCGAGUCCGGAAGAGGUUGGUGGAACAGCUAGUGUAGAGGUGAAAUUCGUAGAUAUUAGCUAGAACACCAGUGGCGAAGGCGGCCAACUGGUCCGGUACUGACGCUGAGGUGCGAAAGCGUGGGGAGCAAACA
Molecule: ribosomal RNA, 402 nt
Filed under: uncultured Labrys sp.
Lineage: Bacteria; Pseudomonadati; Pseudomonadota; Alphaproteobacteria; Hyphomicrobiales; Xanthobacteraceae
Description: bacterial SSU rRNA
Rfam family: Bacterial small subunit ribosomal RNA
Source: RNAcentral